AGACCCGAAACCCGGUGAUCUAGCCAUGGGCAGGUUGAAGGUUGGGUAACACUAACUGGAGGACCGAACCGACUAAUGUUGAAAAAUUAGCGGAUGACCUGUGGCUGGGGGUGAAAGGCCAAUCAAACCGGGAGAUAGCUGGUUCUCCCCGAAAGCUAUUUAGGUAGCGCCUCGUGAAUUCAUCUCCGGGGGUAGAGCACUGUUUCGGCUAGGGGGCCAUCCCGGCUUACCAACCCGAUGCAAACUGCGAAUACCGGAGAAUGUUAUCACGGGAGACACACGGCGGGUGCUAACGUCCGUCGUGAAGAGGGAAACAACCCAGACCGCCAGCUAAGGUCCCAAAGUCAUGGUUAAGUGGGAAACGAUGUGGGAAGGCCCAGACAGCCAGGAUGUUGGCUUAGAAGCAGCCAUCAUUUAAAGAAAGCGUAAUAGCUCACUGGUCGAGUCGGCCUGCGCGGAAGAUGUAACGGGGCUAAACCAUGCACCGAAGCUGCGGCAGCGACGCUGAUGCGUUGUUGGGUAGGGGAGCGUUCUGUAAGCCUGCGAAGGUGGCCUGUGAGGGUUGCUGGAGGUAUCAGAAGUGCGAAUGCUGACAUAAGU
Molecule: ribosomal RNA, 600 nt
Filed under: Salmonella enterica
Lineage: Bacteria; Pseudomonadati; Pseudomonadota; Gammaproteobacteria; Enterobacterales; Enterobacteriaceae
Description: partial 23S ribosomal RNA
Rfam family: Bacterial large subunit ribosomal RNA
Source: RNAcentral